This 1369-nucleotide ribosomal RNA is filed under the name uncultured bacterium. Its description in RNAcentral is "bacterial SSU rRNA". It matches the Rfam family "Bacterial small subunit ribosomal RNA", at positions 28 to 1381 of the family's 1533-position model. The record is from RNAcentral.
GACGAACGCUGGCGGCGUGCCUAAUACAUGCAAGUAGAACGCUGAAGAGAGGAGCUUGCUCUUCUUGGAUGAGUUGCGAACGGGUGAGUAACACGUAGGUAACCUGCCUGGUAGCGGGGGAUAACUAUUGGAAACGAUAGCUAAUACCGCAUGACAUUGAUUAUCGCAUGAUAAUAAAUUGAAAGGUGCAAUUGCAUCACUACCAGAUGGACCUGCGUUGUAUUAGCUAGUUGGUGAGGUAACGGCUCACCAAGGCGACGAUACAUAGCCGACCUGAGAGGGUGAUCGGCCACACUGGGACUGAGACACGGCCCAGACUCCUACGGGAGGCAGCAGUAGGGAAUCUUCGGCAAUGGGGGGAACCCUGACCGAGCAACGCCGCGUGAGUGAAGAAGGUUUUCGGAUCGUAAAGCUCUGUUGUAAGAGAAGAACGGGUGUGAGAGUGGAAAGUUCACACUGUGACGGUAUCUUACCAGAAAGGGACGGCUAACUACGUGCCAGCAGCCGCGGUAAUACGUAGGUCCCGAGCGUUGUCCGGAUUUAUUGGGCGUAAAGCGAGCGCAGGCGGUUAGAUAAGUCUGAAGUUAAAGGCUGUGGCUUAACCAUAGUAUGCUUUGGAAACUGUUUAACUUGAGUGCAGAAGGGGAGAGUGGAAUUCCAUGUGUAGCGGUGAAAUGCGUAGAUAUAUGGAGGAACACCGGUGGCGAAAGCGGCUCUCUGGUCUGUAACUGACGCUGAGGCUCGAAAGCGUGGGGAGCAAACGGGAUUAGAUACCCUGGUAGUCCACGCCGUAAACGAUGAGUGCUAGGUGUUAGGCCCUUUCCGGGGCUUAGUGCCGCAGCUAACGCAUUAAGCACUCCGCCUGGGGAGUACGACCGCAAGGUUGAAACUCAAAGGAAUUGACGGGGGCCCGCACAAGCGGUGGAGCAUGUGGUUUAAUUCGAAGCAACGCGAAGAACCUUACCAGGUCUUGACAUCCCUCUGACCACUCUAGAGACAGAGUUUUCCUUCGGGACAGAGGUGACAGGUGGUGCAUGGUUGUCGUCAGCUCGUGUCGUGAGAUGUUGGGUUAAGUCCCGCAACGAGCGCAACCCCUAUUGUUAGUUGCCAUCAUUGAGUUGGGCACUCUAGCGAGACUGCCGGUAAUAAACCGGAGGAAGGUGGGGAUGACGUCAAAUCAUCAUGCCCCUUAUGACCUGGGCUACACACGUGCUACAAUGGCUGGUACAACGAGUCGCAAGCCGGUGACGGCAAGCUAAUCUCUGAAAGCCAGUCUCAGUUCGGAUUGUAGGCUGCAACUCGCCUACAUGAAGUCGGAAUCGCUAGUAAUCGCGGAUCAGCACGCCGCGGUGAAUACGUUCCCGGGCCU